RNAcentral lists this ribosomal RNA (456 nucleotides) under uncultured bacterium. RNAcentral's name for it is "bacterial SSU rRNA". It matches the Rfam family "Bacterial small subunit ribosomal RNA", at positions 8 to 507 of the family's 1533-position model. The record is from RNAcentral.
AGAGUUUGAUCAUGGGCUCAGAACGAACGCUGGCGGCAGGCUUAACACAUGCAAGUCGAACGGGCGUAGCAAUACGUCAGUGGCAGACGGGUGAGUAACACGUGGGAACCUUCCUAGGGGUACGGAACAACUCAGGGAAACUUGAGCUAAUACCGUAUACGUCCGUGAGGAGAAAGAUUUAUCGCCCUUAGACGGGCCCGCGUCGGAUUAGCUAGUUGGUGGGGUAACGGCCUGCCAAGGCGACGAUCCGUAGCUGAUCUGAGAGGAUGAUCAGCCACACUGGGACUGAGACACGGCCCAGACUCCUACGGGAGGCAGCAGUGGGGAAUCUUGGACAAUGGGCGCAAGCCUGAUCCAGCCAUGCCGCGUGAGUGAAGAAGGCCUUCGGGUUGUAAAGCUCUUUUGUCAGGGACGAUAAUGACGGUACCUGAAGAAUAAGCCCCGGCAAACUUCGUG